RNAcentral lists this ribosomal RNA (310 nucleotides) under uncultured bacterium. RNAcentral's name for it is "partial 16S ribosomal RNA". It matches the Rfam family "Bacterial small subunit ribosomal RNA", at positions 503 to 807 of the family's 1533-position model. The record is from RNAcentral.
AAGAGACAGCAGUAGCCGCGGGAAUACAGAGGGUGCAAGCGUUAAUCGGAAUUACUGGGCGUAAAGCGCGCGUAGGUGGUUUGUUAAGUUGGAUGUGAAAUCCCCGGGCUCAACCUGGGAACUGCAUCCAAAACUGGCAAGCUAGAGUAUGGUAGAGGGUGGUGGAAUUUCCUGUGUAGCGGUGAAAUGCGUAGAUAUAGGAAGGAACACCAGUGGCGAAGGCGACCACCUGGACUGAUACUGACACUGAGGUGCGAAAGCGUGGGGAGCAAACAGGAUUAGAUACCCCCGUAGUCCCUGUCUCUUAUAC